Long non-coding RNA from Oryctolagus cuniculus (rabbit), 609 nucleotides. RefSeq lists it as uncharacterized. Lineage: Eukaryota; Metazoa; Chordata; Mammalia; Lagomorpha; Leporidae. The record is from RefSeq and is a predicted model, not a curated record.
GUACCGUAAGAGAGGCUGCGGGCGGAAAACAUGGCCGCGCCCACUGGAGUUUCUUCGUGUGGGCCGCCAUCCAGGAAGCGGCUCCAUUCCGUACGGCGGAGCCAUGGGACUCCCGCCCAGAAACUGCCUAUGGAAGUGGGAUGGAAAUUCUGAAGCAACUAGUAAUCCCAUCAUCCCCUCACCCCUCUAUGAAGAUGCGCACGUCAGUUGUAAAGAGGCAAUUCCUUUCACGUUGUGAAGACCUAAAUAUGCUUCAAACCCCAUCAUAAAUACUACUUCUAACAGCAAGUCCUGCAUGGCAGUGCUGGGAGGUUCUAUGCUCUCCUCAAAAUGUUCAGUCCCUGCAGAUGGAUCAUCCAGCAGCACCUUUCUCAUUUGUGGUGAGAACAGCAGUAUCACUCAGAGCAAGAACUUGGUCAGAUGCAAAGAAUUCUUGACUGCCAAUAGACCCCCUACUUUAACCCUGGCCCUUUUUCCCCUUGAACUAUAACUUCUAUACCAACAUGUCUCCAAAUCUGUCACAUCCAAGUUCUUUUCACUCAUGCCCCUCUCCUAUUCUAAGCUCGAGAAAUAAGAGUGACAAAUAAAGUUCAAAAUCCACAUACUGUC